AAGAAAGUGGCAGAGUGGCUAUGCGGCUGGCUUGAAACCGGCUUAUGGGGGUUCAAUUCCUUCUUUUCUCG
Molecule: transfer RNA, 71 nt
Filed under: Crenuchus spilurus (sailfin tetra)
Lineage: Eukaryota; Metazoa; Chordata; Actinopteri; Characiformes; Crenuchidae
Description: tRNA-Ser (UCN)
Rfam family: tRNA
About the family: Transfer RNA (tRNA) molecules are approximately 80 nucleotides in length. Their secondary structure includes four short double-helical elements and three loops (D, anti-codon, and T loops).
Source: RNAcentral